Molecule: small RNA, 30 nt
Filed under: Bombyx mori (domestic silkworm)
Lineage: Eukaryota; Metazoa; Arthropoda; Insecta; Lepidoptera; Bombycidae
Description: ovarian small RNA-18922
Source: RNAcentral
UAACGUUCUUGAGAAAAACGCCACUGGUCU